AGGGUGCAGGAGAAUUCAAGAAAAAAAUUAUGUAUAGUAUCGUAUAUUACACAUAAUUUUUUUCUUGAAUUCUCCUGCACCCU
Molecule: microRNA precursor, 83 nt
Filed under: Podarcis lilfordi (Lilford's wall lizard)
Lineage: Eukaryota; Metazoa; Chordata; Lepidosauria; Squamata; Lacertidae
Source: RNAcentral